Long non-coding RNA from Talpa occidentalis (Iberian mole), 477 nucleotides. RefSeq lists it as uncharacterized. The transcript has 3 exons. The record is from RefSeq and is a predicted model, not a curated record. NCBI's taxonomy places the organism in Eukaryota, Metazoa, Chordata, Mammalia, Eulipotyphla, Talpidae.
GGAGAGAGGGUUCCUCAGAGCUGCCCCUCCGUGUUCACAGAGAACUCCAAUCCAAGGGAACUGGGAACCAAGGGAAGUCUUGUUCAUCCUUCAAGGCACCAACAAAUGUGCUUGGAAAUGACAGAUCAGAAAACAUGCAAACGAGGCUCCUGAGGCCUGUAUGCAACUGUGAUUGGCAAGAACAUGAUGGAGAUUUUUGUGUCAAGGAGAGCAGUUCUUGAGCCAGGCCAUAUGCUCAGCUUCAUGGGGGCUUUGUGUAUUCCGUCUGGAGCACUGGGAAUAAUGAGACAUGGAACAGCAAAGGGCAGAGUCCCUGGAACGAAACCAUAUUUGCUGGAAGUGCUCAGGGGAUGCUCAGUGAACCCCAACUCUGAGACAUGAAGCUAUGCUGGAUGGUGUCUCCAUUAUCUGUCCAUGGGUGAGCACCUACACUGUUUAAAAGAAUGCUGGACCUUAUCCCCCAUUAUGAGAGAAACG